RNAcentral lists this unclassified non-coding RNA (348 nucleotides) under soil metagenome. RNAcentral's name for it is "partial contains 5.8S ribosomal RNA, internal transcribed spacer 2, and large subunit ribosomal RNA". The stretch from base 1 to 120 matches the Rfam family "5.8S ribosomal RNA", at positions 35 to 154 of the family's 154-position model. The record is from RNAcentral.
GAUGAAGAACGUAGUAAAAUGCGUUAAGUAAUGUGAAUUGCAGAAUUCAGUGAAUCAUCGAAUCUUUGAACGCACAUUGCGCCCGCUGGUAUUCCGGCGGGCAUGCCUGUUCGAGCGUCAUUUCAACCCUCAAGCCCCCGGGUUUGGUGUUGGGGAUCGGCUCUGCCCUUCUGGGCGGUGCCGCCCCCGAAAUACAUUGGCGGUCUCGCUGCAGCCUCCAUUGCGUAGUAGCUAACACCUCGCAACUGGAACGCGGCGCGGCCAUGCCGUAAAACCCCAACUUCUGAAUGUUGACCUCGGAUCAGGUAGGAAUACCCGCUGAACUUAAGCAUAUCAAUAAGCGGAGGA